RNAcentral lists this ribosomal RNA (402 nucleotides) under uncultured bacterium. RNAcentral describes it as "bacterial SSU rRNA". It matches the Rfam family "Bacterial small subunit ribosomal RNA", at positions 355 to 774 of the family's 1533-position model. The record is from RNAcentral.
UCGGGAAUUUUGGGCAAUGGGCGAAAGCCUGACCCAGCAACGCCGCGUGAGGGAUGAAGUAUUUCGGUAUGUAAACCUCGAAAGAAUGGGAAGAAUAAAUGACGGUACCAUUUAUAAGCUCCGGCUAACUACGUGCCAGCAGCCGCGGUAAUACGUAGGGAGCAAGCGUUGUUCGGAUUUACUGGGCGUAAAGGGCGCGUAGGCGGCGCGGUAAGUCACUUGUGAAAUCUCUGAGCUUAACUCAGAACGGCCAAGUGAUACUGCUGUGCUAGAGUGCGGAAGAGGCAACCGGAAUUCUUGGUGUAGCUGUGAAAUGCGUAGAUAUCAAGAGGAACACCUGAGGCGAAGGCGGGUUGCUGAGCCGACACUGACGCUGAUGCGCGAAAGCCAGGGGAGCAAACG